Rattus norvegicus (Norway rat) is the source of this 2306-nucleotide non-coding RNA. The record is from RefSeq and is a predicted model, not a curated record. Lineage: Eukaryota; Metazoa; Chordata; Mammalia; Rodentia; Muridae.
ACCGUGCCAGCAGGGUUAGCCGAUUAUAGGCGAUUAUAGGCAGCACCACUGUCCGCUCUGGAAUGAAACUUCCACAGGUAGCCUUCUAGAACUAGCUGCACUGGGGGUUCUCAACUCGGACCAUGGGAUAAAAGUAGAAGACACAGUAACAGCUUUUUACUGCCGCUCCCAAAAACUGAUGAUUGCUAUCAUAAGAAGAGCAGUCUAGGGAGAAAAAAAAUUAAGAAAUUCGGAAACACAUUUUCACACAAGUGUGACUCUGAUAGAGACCCAAGCUACAUGAGACACUUUGUAAACAACGAGUAAGUGCAACUUGACAGAGUGUUCUCCUACCUGCGCUUUCAUGCUCAGGAACUAAACCAUCCACUUCCACAACAGGUCGUCAUCCGCUAUUACCACAGAGCUGUUACAUAAACAGCAACUCCAGAAACCAUCCAUUCACAAGGCCCCAUGACAGCAAGGUAACUAACAACUAUGUCUAUGCAGAUAAGUCACAGAUGAACAAUGGUGGCUUCCCUGGAGAGUCACCCAGUUAGAAGGCCACUGGAGUCAAGGCUGAGGCGUGACCCAUUGGUCCUGACAACUUGAUUUUUAGAACUCAUCGAUCCAACUGUCAUGGAGACCGACAGGCACAAGUGAGAAUCACAAACUGUUGACCAGUGUCUGUGAGGACUCGCUCACUACCUUCUAUCAAGGGCAAGAUGACUUCCCACGCCCAUUCAUUCCUCCCCACCCUGAAAGGAAACAGCUGCAGGUAUGACCUCACAUUAUCUGGUGUGGUGGCAACAGAAAGGAAGAAAACUUUCCUGAACAAGUCACCCCUCAUGAGUCACACACUGAAGCAGAGCUUCAUGACAGUCCUGGGCCACCUGGAUCAGCAGUCAGGGCCACCCAGGGCAACUAGCACCUUGCCUCAGGUGGGUCUCUGUUACUCCCUGUCCGCAGUCUACCACCUCACGAAUGGUGCGCCCUGUACAGCCUGCCUGCUAACCCCUCUGCCUCUCUUUCCUGCCAGCAAAAUAAGAAGGCAAGUUCAGCAUCCUAGAAACUGUAGGGAGCUCAGUGUGACCACAGGGCUCACGCGGGAAGACACACCUGACAUGCAAUUCCCAGUCAGUGAUGGUGUCUCCCUCUGCUCUGUCCCGCUGUUCCCCCUCUCCUUCAAAUAUUGCUCCUUUACUAUUUCCUGCUGGACAGAAACUCCGCCCUGCCGCUGCCUCCUCAUUCUUGCACCACUACACCUGAAGUCAUCAUGCGAUGACAGAGGUGAGUCCAGCUGGAAACGUAGGUCACAACCCCGUCCUGCCUUUGUUUCCUUCUUCUCACCUUAAGCCCUCAAGACUGGACUGGCAGACCAACCCCUGCGCUCGAUGUUGACUACAACGGAAACAUGCUUGGAAGUGCACAGAAUCAUUGCAAGGGGAGAAAGGACAAGCAGAGGCUGGCAUCCCUCUUCACUACUUCACAUGCUGAGGGAAGGCGGCAUGCGGACGUAAAGAGGAAGGGGAAAGCAGAUGUCUCUCAUGGACAGAGGUCUGAGAUGAAGGCUCUAGUGAAGCAGGCUCCUGAACUGAGAAGGAAGAUGAUUCCCGUUCCUUAUUGUCCCCAGGAAAGGUCAGAGGUCAAAUAAGAGAAAGAGUGCAGUUUCCGAAACAGCCCCUCUUGUAGCAGCCACCACACUGCACUGGAAAGGACACUGAACUCAUUCACCAAGCUGGUUGCUCUGGGGAGAUAAGAAAGUGAAGGCUCAUGACUGUUAAAUGAGAUGUCCAGGGCCCCGGGGCUGACCUGUGGUGACAGCUGCCUAUCUCCCCACUGAAACGCUCUUUGGAAAUCACCGUCCAUCAUGCGCCAUGUGCCAUGAGACAACAGUAGGAAGGACACUCUGCAGAAGACACAACCACACUGGGCCUGGGCCUCCCAAGUGGAAGGGGGCUGGCUACAGUCUCCCGAUCAUCAGUGCAGUGUUCAAACACUCUCUACAAAAAAUGCUCCAAACUGAGGUCCUGCAACAGGCCCAUUCUGCCAGGUGAGCACAACUUCACAGAUCAGCUAUUCCAAUGCUGUCUUCUUGAGGAGGCUUCCUGCAGCCACAGAUGUCAACCCUCUGGUCCCUCCCUCCUGCGCCCAUCCCUCCUCAGCUGGCUAACUAUGUAACUUCAUACACAGGUACUCUGCUUACUGGCCUCGCUUCUUGCUUCUGACCCUACACACUAAGUCCACUGAGAUACAGAUAUAUUUGCUCUGGCACCCUGGUGCUAGGACAGUAACAAGCACAGAAGUCAAGUAAAUGUUUAUUGAAGGAA